Molecule: ribosomal RNA, 56 nt
Filed under: Beauveria bassiana
Lineage: Eukaryota; Fungi; Ascomycota; Sordariomycetes; Hypocreales; Cordycipitaceae
Description: partial 28S ribosomal RNA
Source: RNAcentral
GUUGACCUCGAAUCAGGUAGGACUACCCGCUGAACUUAAGCAUAUCAAUAAGCCGG